UCUGCCACCGUGCCUUCUCUGCUGUGAUAGGCUAUGCCCUCAAACCAUAAGCCAAGAGGAACCAUUCUUCCCCUAAGUUGCUUUUUACCAAGCAUUUUGUUAUGGCAAUGGAUGCAGAUAUGUCCAUCAGCUUUUUCUGGCCAAAUUUGUGGGGCUGUGAUUUGGAAGCAAAUUAUCCAAGAGACUGGCAGAACAUGGAGGCAAACUGGUUGCAGGUUGGGAGUGGCCAACAUGAGGUGUUUCUGGGAUUGAAAGUGCUGGAGAAAUGCCUGCUCCAUUUUAUUCACUGUGAAGUGCUCCCCACGUUCAAGUGACUUCAGUCUCCUUCAGAAAUGCCUGCCCAUUCCUCACUAUGAAGUGCUCCCCACGAUCUGACAAGAACAGGAAUGCUCUGCCGUGAAGCAUGUGCUGUCCCCACUCUCCAGCAAGGAUGGAGACAAAAAGAGCAAACAGCACACGCAUUGUUUUUAAUAUCUUGAGAGCUGUGUAUGCCUCCAAAUUGAUAGGAUGCUUGCUCAACUUUCCAUUUCCUGUGUGAAUUCAUUCUCAGAUUGGAAGCAACUUCAUUACCAACA
Molecule: long non-coding RNA, 575 nt
Organism: Mesocricetus auratus (golden hamster)
Lineage: Eukaryota; Metazoa; Chordata; Mammalia; Rodentia; Cricetidae
Exons: 3
Source: RefSeq, a predicted model, not a curated record